This is a long non-coding RNA of Limulus polyphemus (Atlantic horseshoe crab), 341 nucleotides long. RefSeq lists it as uncharacterized. Lineage: Eukaryota; Metazoa; Arthropoda; Merostomata; Xiphosura; Limulidae. The record is from RefSeq and is a predicted model, not a curated record. The transcript is spliced from 3 exons.
ACUUCUGGAUGGAUAAGCAAGUUCUUGACACACGGAAGCUUGUUAUAUCAAAGAAAUGUGGAAAACGAAUAAAUGUUUGGAUAAAAAUUUAGAAAAGAAUUUCCGACGAGAGCGUAUUUUUUAUUCGUAAAGCAGCGAUUUUGCUUUGAUUAUAACUUACCUCUAGGUGGCACAAUAUACAUUGUAGAAAUGGCGGUGCGCGGUGAAGACAGUAACAUUCUUUCUGGAGUAAAUAAUGUGAUAGUGGUUCUCUCAGGCAAAGGAGGUGUUGGCAAAAGUACCGUAGCAACACAGUUGGCACUGUCCUUGAGGAAAGCUGGGAACAAGGUAGCAAUACUUGA